RNAcentral lists this ribosomal RNA (253 nucleotides) under uncultured bacterium. RNAcentral's name for it is "partial 16S ribosomal RNA". It matches the Rfam family "Bacterial small subunit ribosomal RNA", at positions 524 to 776 of the family's 1533-position model. The record is from RNAcentral.
UACGUAGGGGGCAAGCGUUGUCCGGAUUCAUUGGGCGUAAAGAGCGUGUAGGCGGCCAGGUAGGUCGGUUGUGAAAACUGGAGGCUCAACCUUCAGACGUCGACCGAAACCAUCUGGCUAGAGUCCGGGAGAGGAGAGUGGAAUUCCUGGUGUAGCGGUGAAAUGCGCAGAUAUCAGGAAGAACACCCGUGGCGAAGGCGGCUUUCUGGGACGGUACUGACGCUGAGACGCGAAAGCGUGGGGAGCGAACAGG